Molecule: long non-coding RNA, 5875 nt
Filed under: Mytilus galloprovincialis (Mediterranean mussel)
Lineage: Eukaryota; Metazoa; Mollusca; Bivalvia; Mytilida; Mytilidae
Source: RNAcentral
UUUUGUUUAUAUUCGAUAUUAGAUGGAGAUGAAUUAUAUCUGAACUACGUCACAGUAGAAGAUGAUAAACAGAUAGUGUGGUGGUUUAAUAGCAUAUUCAUUACUCUAUUCCACUUAGUGUUCGCUGUCAUUGCCAUGAAUAUUUUCAUUGCCAUUUUUACAUCAACUUACGAAGUCAUGCAGGUAUUGUCUAUUUAUAGUUAUGUUCCGCUUAGUGUUUACAGUUAUUGCCAUGAAUUUUUACAUCAACUUAAGAAGUCAUGAAGGUAUUGUCUAUUAAUAACUGUCAGGGGCGGAUCCAGGAUUUUGGAAAGGGGGGCGAAGUAAUAAUUUUUGCCGAGCGGAGCGAGGCGAAAAAUUUUGGGGACCUUUUUUUUGCUAAAAAACAUAAAAUAAGUGUAAAAUGCAUUUUAGUUAAAGUGUAGGGGCUGGACAUUUUUGGUGCCGUAUUCUCUACAUUGAUUGUCUAUUAUAAAAUGAUUGAAUGGAUCCAAAGCUAUGUACUAUUUAAUAUAUUUGAAGUGGAAUUUGUCAGUAAAAAAUGGACAUGGGAAAUUCCCGUUUGUUGUAUGGUUAGUUAGCAUAACUUUACAGAUUUCUUGUUGUGAACAAGAUAUACGGCUAUUCAAUGAAAUUUACAAUACGACCGACACGAAGAAAAACAAACAAGAAAUUUUUAUCCAUUGAAAUGUUUGGUUGAAAUGUUUCACCCAACAAUGGAAAAAAGUAAUAUCACAAAAAUACUGAACUCAGAGGAAAAUCAAUUCGGAAAGUCCAUAAUCACAUGGCAAAAUCAAAUAACAAACGCAUCAAAAACGAAUGACAAAACUGUCAUAUUCCUGACUUGGUACAGGCAUUUCAAAUGUAGAAAAUGGUGGAUUGAACCUGGUUUUAUAGCUAGCUAAACCUCUCACUUGCAUGACAGUCGCAUCAAAUUCCAUUAUAUAGUCACCGAUGCGUGAACAAAACAAACAGACAUAAUAGGUAAAAAUGUCAAAAAUAGGGACAGCAGUCAACAUUGUGUUAUCAUCUUAAUCACUAUAAAAACAAACAAUGUAACGAAGAAGCACAAAAGCAUACAUCAAAUUAACAUCCUCAUUUUGAUUAUAUUAUACGAUUAUAUUUGUCUAUGUAAAAUGCACCCAUCAAGGAAGGAGGGUAUGGGUACUGGUGUAAAAUUGCGCGUUUGAAAUUCGCACAGGUAGACAUGAAAUAAUUUUGUCGUUCAAAGUAUGACGGGAUGCAUAAAUACAGUCACGCAAAAUAGAUAUAACAAACAUUGACUUAGCAGUUAAAGUAAUAAUAAUAAAUAAAGUAAUAGUGUGGUUCAAAGUAUGACGUGAUACAUAAGUACAGAGUCACGUAAAAUGUAUAUCACAAAAAAAGAAGGUUAACAGUAAAAGUAAUAUUAAUGAAUAAAAUAAUUUUGUCAUACAGUGGAAGCGAGGGGUACAAAUCAACCAAAAGGCUACGAAUGAAUCGGAAACGAAAAUGAAGUUGUGAAUAACGUUCGACACACAUACGCCCGUUUUUUUUUAGAGUGUAAUUAAGAAUUGAAUGCUUCUUUUUGUAACUUCAUUGGGGUGUAAAAGCGUUGACCGAAGUACAUUUUGUAUGAAGCGCGGAAGCUGUGAAGUUACAAAAAGAAGUAUUCAAUACUUAUAAUUAAAUUUUUUUAGCAAUGAUCAUGAAAACACGAAUUUUAUUAUUGUUUUAUUUAUUUCCCCUGUGCACUUUAUUGUGGGACCACGUGUUAUCAUUAAUGAAAAGUUUUAUUGAGCAAUGCAAUUGCUUACGGAAUAACACGUGAUGUGCAGUUAGCCAAUCAGAAUAAAGUAUCAAAAUGAAACAUACAUCUAAUGUAAUUAUUAGAGUAUAAUUUUCUGUUGGGUGGAAUUGUGAUAAAGAAGUCAAUACGUCCUUGCUCAAUACGUUGAAGGCGUCAUCCUUAGCCUAAACAUGUGUUACUGUAAUCUGAAUUUCAAAAUGACUGAGUGACGGUUUUUUUAGACGUACUUGUCAACUCCGUCGUAGCGAAUCACAUAACUUUGACAUAAUCAAUAAUAUAUUACAGUGAAUACGAGCGAAAAAUAUCUUUAUAAGUGGAGAACUGUCGCAUUAAAAUUAAAUACACAGCAAAAUUCACAAAGUCUAGGCUGAUUAUUAAUCAUUUUAUAUAAAUAAAAAAGAAGUUCCAGCAAAUGGGGGGGGGGCGUACGCCCUCUACGCCCCCUCUGAAUCCGCCACUGACUGUGUUUCACUAAGUGUUCGAAGUAAUUGUCAUGUACAAUAUCCGAUUGCCCUUUUUACAUCAACUUACGAAGUCACGCAGGUAUUGUCUAUUUAUAACUUUGUUAGUUAUUGCCAUGCAUUUUUACAUCAACUUACAAAGUCAUGCCGGUAUUGUCUUAAAUAACUUUGUUUCACUUUGCGUUCGCUGUAGUGCAAUGAAUAUUUUCACUGUUAUUUUUACAUCAACUUACGAAGUCAUGCAGGUAAUGUCUUAUUUUUAACUUUAUUCCGCUUAGUGUUGGCAGUAAUUACCAUGAACAUUUUCAUUGCCGUUUUUAAGUCAACUUACCAAGUCAUGCGGGUAUUAAAGGACUUGUUUGAUAAACAAAAAAUGUUAUAAGAAUGAGCUAUGUUUCAUAUGACUAUUAUUUUACUUGGAAUAGUGUAAGAUAACUUAUCAUAAUUUGCAUAAAAUUUAUGCUAUUUAAAUGACAAUCAGUUUUAGCUGCUGAAGAGUACCAAAUGAUUUUUUAGUUAUAUUAUAUAUUUGAUAUUUUCUACUUGAAAAUUACUCGAUGAUUUUUUUUUUAAAAUAGGAAAAUAUUGAUUGAUUUUUUUUUUAAGGAAAAGGAUGAGAGGAGUGAUCUUAAAAAGUGGUUAGACAACUAUCGCCAUAAAAAGAAAUUCAAUUUGCCAAAAAAAUGCAAAACGUGUUUCUGUGGGUAAGUAACACUUAUGUAUUUGUUUGUAUUGGUCAGUUACGCCGAAAUGUAUGCCUUAAAUCUGUUCGGUAGAUAAAAAAUGAAAAAGAACAUUUAGACAAAAUAACAAUGGCUAUGUACGUGAAAAAAGAUCCCCAUUAUAAAAAAUACAUAUAUUUGUAUGUUAAAUAAAAUUAAGAAUGGAAAAUGGGGAAUACGUCAGAGAGACAACAAUCCCAAGAGCAGAAAGCAGCCUCUAUAAAUGGAUCUUCACAUGAAGGUGGGGAUUCAACUGGCCCCUUAAUGAUCAUUUGUCUAGAUCAAAAAUAAAUGAACAAAAAUUUUAAAAAUAACAUACAAGUUUGACAAAGCCAGAGGUUGGUGAAAAUUAAUAACUAAAUGGUAAUGCUGGAUUUUGCAAUGUUUAGAUAUUGAUAUAAAAGAACGUUAAUCAUUUUGUAUGGCUGUUUUACGUUUUACAGUUGUAUGUUAUAACAAGAACCUUUCGGAGCACAGUCGGGAAUUCCUUGAAUAUAGAUAUGUAUGAAAUGUGUUUAGCAUGUGACUGUGUGUUUUAUGUUUGCUUGUAAUGUUCAUGAAUCAUUUUAAAUUUCAUAAACUUUAUUUUUUAAGUCAUUCUACAGGCAGUGGAAAUUCUUUUCCUUUUCAUUUUUCCGUUGCGAUGUACUUCGAAUCUGUUUUGGUUGCAUUGUUUACUAUCAUACCUCAUUGUACAAGAACCACGUGUUUAAGAUUAAAUGCAAAUUAGAAACUGUAGGAAUUCUGUCACAAUUCAUAAUUUAACUACACUCCUAAAAUGUAUUGUAGUUUUGGGAGUUCAAUUAGUAAAGAUGCUACUAGUAAAUGGAAAACCCAUUUGGAAAAUAUCAUAAAAAAAUGUAUCUAAACAUUUGAAUGUUCUUAGAAAAUUAAAGUACAGGAUAAGUAGGAGUAACUUAGAAAUUUGAAAUCGAACUAAAAAAUCUUAAAUUGAAUUCAAAAGCCCAUGUACUAAAAAAUUAUGACUUUGGAAAUCGCUAACUCAACAUUAGUUUGACACAACUUAGAUACUCAGCCUCUUUUUUGAAUUAUGAUCUUAAAAGAGUCAACAUUAUUUCAGAAUACGUCUUGCAGAACUUUGUGGUGCUAAGUGCGAAGAUUCACGUCACUUCUUUUUUUAUUGUCCUAAUUAUGUGAAUAUAAGAAUCAAAUUAUUUAAUAAUCUAUAUUGGUUGCCAGAGAACUCUCCACUAAAUCAUCUUAACCUCAGGUGAUACGUCUUUAACUAAUGUUGAAAAUGAAAGAAUUGUAAAGAAUGUAUAUAAAUUUAUUCAAAAGUCUAAGAGGUUUCUAAUUGUGUAAUAUCGGACAUUAUAAAGUGCAAAUGCAUGCAUAUUGUGUAUAACCAUUCACAUCAUCACAAACCAUUUUUUCACAGUUCCAAUAUUUUAUACAUAGAGAAUAAUACAUGGCAAAAUACGUAUCAUAUGCCCGUUAAUCCCGAGAUACCAAUAUCAACCAGAGUGCCUUUAGACCCGAGGGAUGAUAUUGGUUGAGGGAGAUACGGCAUGUGAUACGGAUUUUGCCAUGUUUUAUACGCUUUAUCAUAUAUCUCAACAGGAGAGUAGCACCUGUGUUACCUCCAGUUCUACUUUUGUCUUGUUUUAAAAGCUUUAAAAGAACUGCUCAAUUACUCAUCGGAAGCACCUGGGUUACCUUAUAAUUUGCGUGCUGGUUGUUUUAAAAAAUGUUUUGUUAAUUGGUUUUUUUUUAUGUGUGUGUGUUUUGAAUGGUAUUUAAUUGAGUUCUUUUUAUAGUUUCAUUUCGUGUGCCAGAAAUUAUGAAAAUUCUACGUUUAUCACGUCACAUUUCUAACAAUGAGGUAAUUCAAAAAAUUGCGUCACGCCCGAAUGACCGUUCAUUUGGGACCCAUUUUGCGGAAAAUAUUUCUUGAGACGGACUUUAUUUAAAAAUGAAAAAAAAGGAGUAGGGGUGUGGUAAAGGGUAUGAUAAAAGGUGCGCAUUAAAGUUGCGCGAAAUGGAUUAAACAGCAAGCUAUUUAUCAAAUAUUCAAAACUACUCUAUUUACUACUAAAUAUAUGAUAAAUAUAUAUAAUAAAAAGUAGAACAUGCAAUGAAAAUAAACAAUACAGAAACUUUCUACGAUAAUCCUUUCUGUAAUAAAACUAUUUACAAAACCUAAGUCGUACCCCCACUAGAACAUGUAACGUGUACAUUACUUAUAAAUGCUUAUAUAAAAAUUUGAAGAUGUGGUAAGAUUGCAAGGGAGACAACUCUCCAACAGAGACCAAAUCACAUAUAAGUUUUCAACUCUAGGUAACACUACGGCAAUAGCAAAACACAUAUACCGCAUAGUCAAAUAUUAAAGGCCCCAAGUGACAGACUAAGAAACUUCUACAGUGCGAGCUAUUAUUCCUGUUUCGAGCCGAGUACAAAUACAUAUGGUAUUUAAAAACACUAAACAGUAUAUUUUUAAAAAAUGUAACUGACUAAUUCUGAGUUUUUCUUAUGUUUGUCAGUCUGUUUCUGUAUAGCUAUGACCAAAAUUGUUGUUUUGUUUGUUUUACUUAAAGAAUAAGGGUUUUUGUAUAAGAUUUAAGGACGCCUCAUGAUUUAUGAUUUUUUGCAGGUGUAUCGAGAUAGUUGAUGGUUGAUGGUUACAUACUUUAAAAGAAAAGAAGAUAUUAGUGUACAAACGCCAUCGUGUUAUAGGAUGCACAGUAACCAUAGCAUUUCCAAUGACAUUAUUGGUUUUAUGCUCAAUACUGCACCGCCUUCGAGAAUAUCUGAUAUUUUACUUAACUUGCUCAAAAGUUUUGUUUAUGUUUGUUGUUUUGUCUGUGCUCUUUCAUUUAAAUCCCAGCUAGGUUGUAUAAAUCGACAGAGGACUAACUGUACAGGUUUUUUAAAUGUUAUUUGAG